UCCAAUUUUGAAAGACACUGGAAAUAACAACAAAUUCAAACAGAAAAAUACAAAUAAUCAAAAGAUGAGAUGAAAAGCUCACCAGAGGCAGAAGUAAUGGACGACUGAAAGAGAGAAACACACGAUGUGACGAAGAAGAAAAAAAUUGGGGACGGCGAACCACAAACGGCUAUUGUUGAAUGUUGAUUCCAAUUUUCCAAUUUCC
This 205-nucleotide long non-coding RNA is filed under the name Olea europaea (common olive). RNAcentral describes it as "long non-coding RNA (OEUR_LNC007882)". Lineage: Eukaryota; Viridiplantae; Streptophyta; Magnoliopsida; Lamiales; Oleaceae. The record is from RNAcentral.